RNAcentral lists this ribosomal RNA (252 nucleotides) under uncultured bacterium. RNAcentral's name for it is "partial 16S ribosomal RNA". It matches the Rfam family "Bacterial small subunit ribosomal RNA", at positions 524 to 776 of the family's 1533-position model. The record is from RNAcentral.
UACGGAGGAUGCGAGCGUUAUCCGGAUUUAUUGGGUUUAAAGGGUGCGUAGGCGGGCUUUUAAGUCAGCGGUAAAAAUUCGGGGCUCAACCCCGUCCGGCCGUUGAAACAGGGGGCCUUGAGUGGGCGAGAAGAAGGCGGAAUGCGUGGUGUAGCGGUGAAAUGCAUAGAUAUCACGCAGAACCCCGAUUGCGAAGGCAGCCUUCCGGCGCCCUACUGACGCUGAGGCACGAAAGUGCGGGGAUCGAACAGG